RNAcentral lists this ribosomal RNA (1498 nucleotides) under Basfia succiniciproducens. RNAcentral's name for it is "bacterial LSU rRNA". It matches the Rfam family "Bacterial large subunit ribosomal RNA", at positions 1 to 1549 of the family's 2925-position model. Lineage: Bacteria; Pseudomonadati; Pseudomonadota; Gammaproteobacteria; Pasteurellales; Pasteurellaceae. The record is from RNAcentral.
UAAGUGACUAAGCGUACAAGGUGGAUGCCUUGGCAAUCAGAGGCGAAGAAGGACGUGCUAAUCUGCGAAAAGCUUGGGUGAGUUGAUAAGAAGCGUCUAACCCAAGAUAUCCGAAUGGGGCAACCCAGUAGAUGAAGAAUCUACUAUCAAUAACCGAAUCCAUAGGUUAUUGAGGCAAACCGGGAGAACUGAAACAUCUAAGUACCCCGAGGAAAAGAAAUCAACCGAGAUUACGUCAGUAGCGGCGAGCGAAAGCGUAAGAGCCUGCAAGUGAUAGCAUGAGGAUUAGAGGAACCGGCUGGGAAGCCGGGCGGCACAGGGUGAUAGCCCCGUACUUGAAAAUCAUUGUGUGGUACUGAGCUUGCGAGAAGUAGGGCGGGACACGAGAAAUCCUGUUUGAAGAAGGGGGGCCCAUCCUCCAAGGCUAAAUACUCCUGAUUGACCGAUAGUGAACCAGUACUGUGAAGGAAAGGCGAAAAGAACCCCGGUGAGGGGAGUGAAAUAGAACCUGAAACCUUGUACGUACAAGCAGUGGGAGCCCGCGAGGGUGACUGCGUACCUUUUGUAUAAUGGGUCAGCGACUUAUAUUAUGUAGCGAGGUUAACCGAAUAGGGGAGCCGAAGGGAAACCGAGUCUUAACUGGGCGUCGAGUUGCAUGAUAUAGACCCGAAACCCGGUGAUCUAGCCAUGGGCAGGUUGAAGGUUGGGUAACACUAACUGGAGGACCGAACCGACUAAUGUUGAAAAAUUAGCGGAUGACCUGUGGCUGGGGGUGAAAGGCCAAUCAAACCGGGAGAUAGCUGGUUCUCCCCGAAAUCUAUUUAGGUAGAGCCUUAUGUGAAUACCUUCGGGGGUAGAGCACUGUUUCGGCUAGGGGGCCAUCCCGGCUUACCAACCCGAUGCAAACUGCGAAUACCGAAGAGUAAUGCAUAGGAGACACACGGCGGGUGCUAACGUUCGUCGUGGAGAGGGAAACAACCCAGACCGCCAGCUAAGGUCCCAAAGUUUAUAUUAAGUGGGAAACGAAGUGGGAAGGCUUAGACAGCUAGGAUGUUGGCUUAGAAGCAGCCAUCAUUUAAAGAAAGCGUAAUAGCUCACUAGUCGAGUCGGCCUGCGCGGAAGAUGUAACGGGGCUCAAAUAUAGCACCGAAGCUGCGGCAUCAGUGGAAACACUGUUGGGUAGGGGAGCGUCGUGUAAGCGGAAGAAGGUGGUUCGAGAGGGCUGCUGGACGUAUCACGAGUGCGAAUGCUGACAUAAGUAACGAUAAAACGGGUGAAAAACCCGUUCGCCGGAAGACCAAGGGUUCCUGUCCAACGUUAAUCGGGGCAGGGUGAGUCGGCCCCUAAGGCGAGGCUGAAGAGCGUAGUCGAUGGGAAACGGGUUAAUAUUCCCGUACUUGUUAUAAUUGCGAUGUGGGGACGGAGUAGGUUAGGUUAUCGACCUGUUGGAAAUGGUCGUUUAAGUUGGUAGGUGGAGCGUUUAGGCAAAUCCGGACGC